GUGGGGAAUCUUGCGCAAUGGGCGAAAGCCUGACGCAGCCAUGCCGCGUGAAUGAUGAAGGUCUUAGGAUUGUAAAAUUCUUUCACCGGGGACGAUAAUGACGGUACCCGGAGAAGAAGCUCCGGCUAACUUCGUGCCAGCAGCCGCGGUAAUACGAAGGGGGCUAGCGUUGCUCGGAAUUACUGGGCGUAAAGGGCGCGUAGGCGGACAGCUUAGUCAGAGGUGAAAGCCCAGGGCUCAACCUUGGAAUUGCCUUUGAUACUGGCUGUCUUGAGUUUGGGAGAGGUGAGUGGAACUCCGAGUGUAGAGGUGAAAUUCGUAGAUAUUCGGAAGAACACCAGUGGCGAAGGCGACUCACUGGCCCAAUACUGACGCUGAGGCGCGAAAGCGUGGGGAGCAAACAGGAUUAGAUACCCGGGUAGUC
This 424-nucleotide ribosomal RNA is filed under the name uncultured bacterium. Its description in RNAcentral is "partial 16S ribosomal RNA". It matches the Rfam family "Bacterial small subunit ribosomal RNA", at positions 354 to 795 of the family's 1533-position model. The record is from RNAcentral.